GUUCGAUUUGCAUUGUAUUUUGGUAAUUGACAGUAGUAACUUUGAAGAUGAGUUCUUCUACACAAGGGACUACUUUGUCCACAAAUGUGGUAGGGUUAGUUGAUGGGUCUUCUGCCUCUCAUCGAGAGGCUUCUGUUUUUGAUGGUUUGCCAAUAUAUGUGAAGGAGCUGAUUGCUGGAGGAGCUGCUGGUGCAUUUGCCAAAACUGCAGUUGCCCCAUUAGAGCGUGUCAAAAUACUUUUGCAGACAAG
RNAcentral lists this unclassified non-coding RNA (250 nucleotides) under Hevea brasiliensis (rubber tree). Lineage: Eukaryota; Viridiplantae; Streptophyta; Magnoliopsida; Malpighiales; Euphorbiaceae. The record is from RNAcentral.